GAUGAACGCUGGCGGCGUGCCUAAUACAUGCAAGUCGAGCGAACGGACGAGAAGCUUGCUUCUCUGAUGUUAGCGGCGGACGGGUGAGUAACACGUGGAUAACCUACCUAUAAGACUGGGAUAACUUCGGGAAACCGUAGCUAAUACCGGAUAAUAUUUUGAACCGCAUGGUUCAAAAGUGAAAGACGGUCUUGCUGUCACUUAUAGAUGGAUCCGCGCUGCAUUAGCUAGUUGGUAAGGUAACGGCUUACCAAGGCAACGAUGCAUAGCCGACCUGAGAGGGUGAUCGCCCACACUGGAACUGAGACACGGCCCAGACUCCGACGGGAGGCAGCAGUAGGGAAUCUUCCGCAAUGGGCGAAAGCCUGACGGAGCAACGCCGCGUGAGUGAUGAAGGUCUUCGGAUCGUAAAACUCUGUUAUUAGGGAAGAACAUAUGUGUAAGUAACUGUGCACAUCUUGACGGUACCUAAUCAGAAAGCCACGGCUAACUACGUG
RNAcentral lists this ribosomal RNA (497 nucleotides) under uncultured bacterium. RNAcentral describes it as "partial 16S ribosomal RNA". It matches the Rfam family "Bacterial small subunit ribosomal RNA", at positions 28 to 507 of the family's 1533-position model. The record is from RNAcentral.